This 466-nucleotide ribosomal RNA is filed under the name uncultured bacterium. RNAcentral's name for it is "partial 16S ribosomal RNA". It matches the Rfam family "Bacterial small subunit ribosomal RNA", at positions 28 to 507 of the family's 1533-position model. The record is from RNAcentral.
GAUGAACGCUGGCGGCGUGCUUAACACAUGCAAGUCGAACGAUGAAGCCCAGCUUGCUGGGUGGAUUAGUGGCGAACGGGUGAGUAACACGUGAGUAACCUGCCCUUAACUUUGGGAUAAGCCUGGGAAACUGGGUCUAAUACCGGAUAGGAGCGCCUACCGCAUGGUGGGUGUUGGAAAGAUUUAUCGGUUUUGGAUGGACUCGCGGCCUAUCAGCUUGUUGGUGAGGUAAUGGCUCACCAAGGCGACGACGGGUAGCCGGCCUGAGAGGGUGACCGGCCACACUGGGACUGAGACACGGCCCAGACUCCUACGGGAGGCAGCAGUGGGGAAUAUUGCACAAUGGGCGAAAGCCUGAUGCAGCGACGCCGCGUGAGGGAUGACGGCCUUCGGGUUGUAAACCUCUUUCAGUAGGGAAGAAGCGAAAGUGACGGUACCUGCAGAAGAAGCACCGGCUAACUACGUG